CGCGUAACACGUAAGCAACCUGCCCCAAAGACCGGGACAACAGCUCGAAAGGGCUGCUAAUACCGGAUGUGGCCGUCGGGAGACAUCUCCUGACGAUUAAAUCGAGCAAUCGGCUUUGGGAGGGGCUUGCGGCCUAUCAGCUAGUUGGGGAGGUAACGGCUCACCAAGGCGACGACGGGUAGCCGGCCUGAAAGGGUGAUCGGCCACACUGGCACUGAGACACGGGCCAG
Molecule: ribosomal RNA, 230 nt
Filed under: uncultured bacterium
Lineage: Bacteria
Description: partial 16S ribosomal RNA
Rfam family: Bacterial small subunit ribosomal RNA
Source: RNAcentral